UACGAAGGGGGCUAGCGUUGCUCGGAAUCACUGGGCGUAAAGCGCACGUAGGCGGACUCUUAAGUCGGUGGUGAAAUCCUGGAGCUCAACUCCAGAACUGCCUUCGAUACUGGGAGUCUCGAGUUCGGGAGAGGUGAGUGGAACUGCGAGUGUAGAGGUGAAAUUCGUAGAUAUUCGCAAGAACACCAGUGGCGAAGGCGGCUCACUGGCCCGAUACUGACGCUGAGGUGCGAAAGCGUGGGGAGCAAACGGG
Molecule: ribosomal RNA, 253 nt
Filed under: uncultured bacterium
Lineage: Bacteria
Description: partial 16S ribosomal RNA
Rfam family: Bacterial small subunit ribosomal RNA
Source: RNAcentral